AAUUGUGAAUAUCUUCGUUUUACCCCAUUUUAUUUCUCUCUCCAUCAUUUUUUAGUUUUUUUACUUCCCUUCGUUUUCCAUAGAAAGAUAAUAAUUUUACUUCACUUCAUUGAAUUCACUGCUUUCAAACACGAAAUUCAAAACCCUAGAUUUGUCCAUAUCAUAAGGCUUUUCUUGCAAAACUUACAUCAAACAUUCUUUCAUCUUCAAGUAAAACUAACCUUUUCUACACUUUCUAUCUCGUAACAAUGUACUAUUGUUCUUGUUUAGAUCAAAAUUAAUACCCUCUUUUGUUUUGUAAAUUUUGGUCAAGAUUUAUUAUUUGAAAGGCUACAACUGAUUUUAGGGUUUAGUCUAUUGUUUUCAUUCAAAUGGAUCCUGUUAUUGUUGCAGAAACGGUUCCGUAUUUGAGUUUAUUCUCUGCCAUCUCCUACGGGAUCGCGUCUAUGGCCAUGGUUUUUAUCAAUAAGGCUGUUUUGAUGCAGUAUUCACACUCAAUGACUCUCCUCUUUCUUCAGCAAUUGGCAACAACUUUGCUUAUAUACUUUGCCCGUGUUAUGGGGUAUGUAAACGCUAAAGAACUAAACUUGGUGACUGCAAAAAAACUAUUCCCCGUGUCACUGUUCUACAAUGCAAAUGUGGCAUUUGCUUUAGCUAGCUUAAAAGGGGUCAACAUUCCAAUGUAUAUCGCAUUGAAGAGACUUACACCACUUGCUGUCUUGGUAGCUGGAUUUUUCUCUGGAAAGGGGAAGCCUCCAACACAGGUGUCUCUCUCAGUCCUAUUUACUGCUUUCGGGGUCAUCAUUGCAGCACUUGGAGAUUUCUCGUUUGACCUCUUUGGGUACACUAUGGCCCUCACAUCUGUCUUUUUCCAGACUAUGUACUUGGUACUCGUUGAGAAGUCUGGUGCAGAGGAUGGGCUAUCCUCAGUGGAGCUAAUGUUCUAUAAUGGAUAUUUAUCUCUUCCAUUUCUUCUAUUCCUUAUCAUAGCCACAGGGGAAUUUCCCAAUUCUGUGUACUUAUUAUUCGACAAGGCUAUCUCGUUUUCGUUCUUAAUGGUUCUCAUUCUUUCGUUGGUGAUGGGAAUCGUUCUUAAUUUCACCAUGUUCUUGUGUACUAUAGUCAACUCAGCUCUUACAACCACCAUUGUUGGAGUUCUCAAGGGCGUCGGAUCAACAACUCUUGGUUUUAUCCUGCUUGGCGGCGUGCAAGUACAUGCCUUAAACGUUACAGGAUUGGUCAUUAACACGGCUGGUGGUGUGUGGUAUUCAUAUGCUAAAUAUCAGCAAAAGAAAAGCAAACCAAAGAAGGUAAUUACAGAUGAAGAAGCUCAUCAUAAGUAAUCACAGAAGCUUUUCUUGGACAUGGAGUACUGCACUAGAGUGGCACUAUCAUGCUCAUUUUAGCAAAUUCUGUAUAGAGAUCAAAUUAUCAUGCAAUCAAUUUGAUUUUGGUCCAUAAUAUCUACUGUCUAUAAGUUAUCACCAGUUCGGGCAACAUGAGCUAUAAUCUUUGUGGACUUGUAGGGCCCAAUUGCAACCAAAUCAACAGCUCAUCUGGUUAUGAAGGCAAAUGUUAUCAUCUCCUGGACCCUCUGAAGAGUAUAUAAUGGUGUUUCUGGUGAAAGUCAGAGAUGCUUGCCUUCGAAAGGAAGAGGGUAUCUUGUCAGGGGAUACAAGAUGGAGAGAACUAGGACAGUGCUAGGGUUAGGGCAUAAAAGAGUAUAAAGCCUCCGGGCUGUCGUCUUAAGGUAUCUAGUUUGUUAAAUUAAAUCAUAUAGGGAGAGAAAAAGGAUUUCAUCCGGCCAUGUAAGAAAUUGUAAUGUCGUAUCUUGAAAGCGAUUUUGUUCAAUUGCUGGGCAUUGUUAAGUUAAACAUGAAAAUGGAGAGAAAUAGGAUUUCCUCUGGCCAUGGAAGACAUUGUAAUGUCCAGUUUUGAAAUAGGAUUUGUUGAAUCGUUAGGCUGAAGGCUAAAAUGCUGGCAUGGAAUAUGUACAGCGCAUGAAAAUAUUGAAAUCAUCUACAAAGAGAACUAUCGAUACA
RNA transcript from Papaver somniferum (opium poppy), 2042 nucleotides. It is a transcript of the gene named UDP-galactose/UDP-glucose transporter 7-like, with no coding region annotated. The record is from RefSeq and is a predicted model, not a curated record. The transcript is spliced from 9 exons. Lineage: Eukaryota; Viridiplantae; Streptophyta; Magnoliopsida; Ranunculales; Papaveraceae.